CUCAUGGGGAGCAACCGCGAACGCCCCGUGAGGCGCCAGCCAAAAGUUCGCAUGUAUCCACAAAAAGGACGCAUGCCAUG
Non-coding RNA from Sulfitobacter mediterraneus, 80 nucleotides. The record is from Rfam. NCBI's taxonomy places the organism in Bacteria, Pseudomonadati, Pseudomonadota, Alphaproteobacteria, Rhodobacterales, Roseobacteraceae.